This is a long non-coding RNA of Zonotrichia leucophrys gambelii, 2752 nucleotides long. RefSeq lists it as uncharacterized. The record is from RefSeq and is a predicted model, not a curated record. The transcript is spliced from 3 exons. NCBI's taxonomy places the organism in Eukaryota, Metazoa, Chordata, Aves, Passeriformes, Passerellidae.
CAGUUAUGUGGAAGAAGGUGAUGAGGAAGAUGAGGUCUGUGGGGAGUUUGCAGAGAGAAGUACGAUAGUUUUACUGUGGCAUAGAAAAGGGCUGGUGUUUGUGUCCACCUUUGGUGUCAGUCAUUUGAGCCCCCUGUCAAUUAGGGGAAAGGUAUGAGAGGUUUUAAAAUAAUAAGGGACUGACACUUGUGUCAGUCAUGAGUCCACUGUCCUUUAGAGCCCUGUGUGAGGAGCAAGCACUGACAAUACUGGGGUCUUACUGUAGAGAUUCAUGGAUGGGUCUACUCAUGCAUGACGUAAUUCAAUGAUCAAAAGCAGACUACAUAAAGCAAAAUGUUGGGGUUUUGGAAGGUUUAUGAGGACAGCAGAUUCUUCAUUCAAUGUAUGGCAACGUCAUCGAAGACAGUCUUGCUUUUUUACAUGAUCACAUAACUUGAAACUGCAUCACUCAUGGAUAUAAGCUUCCAUUCUUGCUCUAAAAUAUGGUCCUUCACGAUGACAAGGCAGCAUUUUGGUGGGACAAUAAAAAGGACUUUCACUGAUGUCUAAUUUUUAUCUUCUUUAGGGUAUUGCUCUCCUUUGAUUUUCAUGUUAGAUAUUAUCUAUAUGUCAUCUUUGUUUUUACAGGAAGGAGGAGUUUAAAGUCAAACAGUAUGGCUCAUGACCUUUAAAUGUUUCAGCUAACUGCUGUACAAGUACUAGAGAAUUUUCUUACUAUGAUUUCCCAAGAAAGAUAUUUAAAUACAAUUAGAUGUAACAAGGCAUUUAUUAAUGCAAAAACCAAUGUUCUAAAUCAUGAUGAGCUCUAUCUGCAUAUAUUAGAAAUAUUUUCAUUUAGAACUACAGGUUAAUAAACAGACGAAUAAAAAAAUUUAAUUAUAUGAAUGUCAUUGGAAGCAGUUUUACAUAGUCCUGCAGCAGAUGGAGGAUGAAAUCUACAUGUAGUUGUCAAAAAUAUAUGAUCUUUUUCUACUAUGUAUAAUUGUGUUUAUUUUCAAUUUACAUAAACAGGCUGAAGAUAACUUGAUGGAAUGCUUAGAAUACUACAGUAGUUUAAUCAGCACCAUAUUUAAUAAAUAUAGUUUAGCAAUUUGUAGCAUGUGAAUUUAAAAGGACUUUUGCUCUGUAGAACACAUGGACUUAGCCUUCACAGUCAUUAAUAUAUCUGGAACAUUCAUCUUCUGAAGACAGUCUAUAAAAGAAAAAUGAAAAAUAAUUUUUAAUUUUAGUUCUCUCUGUCAAUCUUCCCCUUUUAAGUUAAUAGCCUUUUUGCCAGCUUUGAAGAUGAAGUGGUUUAUUUCUGAUUUUCUUCUUGAUAUGCUUUUAGUAAAAUUGUAUUAUACUUGUUCUCUUUUCAAAGGUAUCAAGUUUUUUCUAAAAAAGUAGAACUUGGACCUGAGCUUAUUAGUAUUUAUCUGACUUAGUCUCUAACCUUAAACAAAUAAUGUAUGCGGAGAGGCCUCUUUUCUUCUCAGAUGUGUUCUUUUUAUAGCUGCCUGAAGAUCUGUUGCACUGUGUAGUAUUUUGAAGAGUUGCCUGAAUGGAAGGGCCUCCACUGUUUUGGCCCUGCAAGUCUUUUUACCAACUGAUGUGAUUUUCUUGGGAUAUUUUUAAGGACAGUACUGACAUCAAUAUGUGGGACAUCUGCUAUCCAUAUGUUCAUAUAACCACCAGACCUGCAGUAAGGCUCCAAAGAAUGCUGGCAUAGUGGUUAAUUCAUUAAUGAAAUAAGCAUCCCUCACACUGCUCUUUUGUGUCCUUCCAAUGUACAUGCUAAAUGAUUAAACUUUGUGAUCCAUCAAGAUAAAAUAUCCUUGAACAUCUCGCAGAUGUGAGGCUCCAUCUCAGCUGUCUGCACACUUGUAUCUCCUGCAGAUUGUAUUUGAUCACAGAGCUCUUAGGGCAUGCAGAGGAUCUUCCUAUAUGGCUUCUUGCCAGACCCAUCUUGGAUACCAUCAAUUCAGAUUAUUUUCCAGUCAGUAUUCUUGUUUCAAUUUUGCUAUUUUGUCAAAUAACAUUGUUUGUAGUAAUACUACCCACACUAGACAAUGAUUGUUUUCUGUUUUAAAGAUGUUUUAGAUUACAGCAGACUCCUGUAAUGACAUCUGCAUUGUUUGUCCCUUGAUUCUUAAAACAGAGGCUUUCAACUGUGCCAUUGCCAGUUGUAAACCCCAUACAUUUGAACCUUCUAUUACAUUCAAAGGCAACCCCCAGCCUCUUCUGCCCUGCCUGUCUCUCCUGAAGAGCCUGUAACCAUCCAGCAGGGCACUCCAGGAUUCAUCCUGCCAGUUUUCACUUUUGUCAAUGACCUCGAAUCUCUGGGGCUUGGCCGAAGCUUUGGGCUGUCUUUGUUCCUCCUUAGUAGAGAAAGAUUUUGGGGGGGUACAUUGUAGCCAACACCUCCUGAAGCAUGUUGAGGGACCCUAUUAGUGUGUGUGUUUAUAAAAAACUUUUUCAAUUAUUGAGGAAAAUACAAAAAGAGGGACUUUUAUGAUACAGGUAGAUGUAAACAAAUUAUGUGCCUUUAAGUCUACCAGUUGCUCAAAUGAAGGAAAACUGCUGAAAUAUCUUCAUGCUUCAGAAGAAAUUUAAUGGACAUAUAAAAAUCCUUCUAAAUUUUCAGUACAGAAGUUACAGCUGUCUUGGGCCACUAGUAAGUUUUGUAACUUCCUUUCACAAUCUGCAUAAACCUUUUGUAAUAAAUACAUACAUGUGUCCUGUAAUUCCAUGGCUUGUAUCAUGAUUGGUUUAU